This 77-nucleotide non-coding RNA is filed under the name Ventosimonas gracilis. RNAcentral's name for it is "SAH (S-adenosyl-L-homocysteine) riboswitch aptamer". It matches the Rfam family "SAH (S-adenosyl-L-homocysteine) riboswitch aptamer". The record is from Rfam by way of RNAcentral. Lineage: Bacteria; Pseudomonadati; Pseudomonadota; Gammaproteobacteria; Pseudomonadales; Ventosimonadaceae. RNAcentral also lists the same sequence under 1 other name.
UCCCCUAAGGAGCGCUGCAGCAGGUUGUCCUGUCAGGCUUGGGCGGUAAGGUUUCCUAUAAACGGCGCUCAUUGAUU